This is a non-coding RNA of Schistosoma rodhaini, 46 nucleotides long. The record is from Rfam. Lineage: Eukaryota; Metazoa; Platyhelminthes; Trematoda; Strigeidida; Schistosomatidae.
GGACUGCUGAAGAGUCUCAUAAUAGGACGAAACGGCCGUCUAGAGC